This 253-nucleotide ribosomal RNA is filed under the name uncultured bacterium. Its description in RNAcentral is "partial 16S ribosomal RNA". It matches the Rfam family "Bacterial small subunit ribosomal RNA", at positions 524 to 776 of the family's 1533-position model. The record is from RNAcentral.
GACGUAGGGGGCCAGCGUUGCUCGGAAUUACUAGGUGUAAAGGGUUCGUAGGCGGUGUGGCAAGUCGGGAGUGAAAUCUCUGAGCUUAACUCAGGGCCUGCUUCCGAAACUGCUGUGCUAGAGUGUGGGAGAGGCGCGUGGAAUUGCAGGUGUAGCGGUGAAAUGCGUAGAUAUCUGCAGGAACACCCGUGGCGAAAGCGGCGCGCUGGACCACUACUGACGCUGAGGAACGAAAGCUAGGGGAGCAAACAGG